UGAGAGGAAGAAAUUUUGGUUUUGGGGGGGGGGGGGUGGUUUGAAAUCAACACAUACACACGACCUAUAUAAACAACAUUCCGAAACCAUAACAUAUGAUUCAUUUAUGUCUUCAAUCUUUCUCUCUUCUCCACAGAAUCAUCUCUUUCUAAAUUGAGUCAUAUACUUGCCCACAAGCUACUAAAGAGGAAAACAAAACAAAAUAAAAAGGAUUUUCUCAGGUAAUCAACUAAAACUCUCUUGCUUUUUCUAUUUUAAUUCUCUGAAAUUACAGUUUAUGUGAUUUUAAUGGAACCAUUUUUAUGCAGAGAAAUAAUGCAAGCAAUGAACCAGUUC
This 336-nucleotide long non-coding RNA is filed under the name Nicotiana tabacum (common tobacco). Its description in RNAcentral is "long non-coding RNA (NTAB_LNC005961)". The record is from RNAcentral. Lineage: Eukaryota; Viridiplantae; Streptophyta; Magnoliopsida; Solanales; Solanaceae.